Molecule: small nucleolar RNA, 100 nt
Organism: Oryctolagus cuniculus (rabbit)
Lineage: Eukaryota; Metazoa; Chordata; Mammalia; Lagomorpha; Leporidae
Source: Ensembl
CUAAAUCCACUGAUAGACCUUGAACAAUUUGCUGUUGUUCUUUUGGCUUGCACUUGGAUGCAAAAGAAAAGAUGGACCAAGUACUUGGACACUUGCAUCC